GAUGAACGCUGGCGGCGUGCCUAAUACAUGCAAGUCGAGCGAACAGACGAGGAGCUUGCUCCUCUGACGUUAGCGGCGGACGGGUGAGUAACACGUGGAUAACCUACCUAUAAGACUGGGAUAACUUCGGGAAACCGGAGCUAAUACCGGAUAAUAUAUUGAACCGCAUGGUUCAAUAGUGAAAGACGGUUUUGCUGUCACUUAUAGAUGGAUCCGCGCCGCAUUAGCUAGUUGGUAAGGUAACGGCUUACCAAGGCAACGAUGCGUAGCCGACCUGAGAGGGUGAUCGGCCACACUGGAACUGAGACACGGUCCAGACUCCUACGGGAGGCAGCAGUAGGGAAUCUUCCGCAGUGGGCGAAAGCCUGACGGAGCAACGCCGCGUGAGUGAUGAAGGUCUUCGGAUCGUAAAACUCUGUUAUUAGGAAAGAACAAAUGUGUAAGUAACUAUGCACGUCUUGACGGUACCUAAUCAGAAAGCCACGGCUAACUACGU
Molecule: ribosomal RNA, 496 nt
Filed under: uncultured bacterium
Lineage: Bacteria
Description: partial 16S ribosomal RNA
Rfam family: Bacterial small subunit ribosomal RNA
Source: RNAcentral